UGACAUUCUAAACACCGUAAGAUUCAUCUAAGUUCUACAUCUACAUGUUGUGCUGACUCUUUCUAAUUUGCAUUUGCAAGAUGCCAAUUUUGAGCCUAGCAAAAUCUAGCAAGGGAACUGUCUACUUGAUGGCACCUGAGAAAAGUGACAAUAAAAUUUGGUCUGGCAAGUUGCGAACCACAUGGUCACAUAGACCUCCAGCCGGACAUAUGGAGUCUUGGCUGCACAGUUUUGGAGAUGCUGACAGACAAGAAGAAAGAAACAAGAUCCAUAUGGCUACCUUUCCUGACUGAUAGAUUUGCUGUUUAUCUAUGUUUGUGCAAAUGUCGUACGUAUGGUAUAUUGGACCAAAAAUAGCAGUAGUCUUGGUCUAGAUGAUUCCAUCCUCUAACUGAGUUCAAAAGACUAUUUUGAAGAAUGAAUCAGGGUUUUUGCGCUC
This is a long non-coding RNA of Sorghum bicolor (sorghum), 439 nucleotides long. RefSeq lists it as uncharacterized. Lineage: Eukaryota; Viridiplantae; Streptophyta; Magnoliopsida; Poales; Poaceae. The transcript has 2 exons. The record is from RefSeq and is a predicted model, not a curated record.